Molecule: ribosomal RNA, 21 nt
Filed under: Orbilia blumenaviensis
Lineage: Eukaryota; Fungi; Ascomycota; Orbiliomycetes; Orbiliales; Orbiliaceae
Description: partial 28S ribosomal RNA
Source: RNAcentral
GUUGACCUCAGAUCAGAUAAG